GAAACGCGAUAGUUAAUGUGAAUUGCAGAAUUCAGUGAAUCAUCGAGUCUUUGAACGCACAUUGCGCCUUUUGGUAUUCCGAAAGGCACGUCUGUUCGAGCGUCAGUGUAAACCUUCCGCGACGGAUCUUUUCGGAGACCGUCCGCGGGUCCCUGGCGAGGGGAUGUUCCCGCCGCGCCUUCCUUCCCUUCGCGGGGUCGGCCGGGUGCGGGCAGGUUUCCCCCGCUUAAACGCGGAGAAAGCUAGCGGCCUCCGGCCACGACUGCGAGACUAGUAAAAACACAUGCCUGUCCCGCGCGUCGUUCGGUCCACGGAGUUGCCUGCCUCGAAACGUUCGGAAGGGGAAUCACUCCCCUUCCUUACCUGACUUCUUGACCUCGGAUCAGAUGAGGAUACCCGC
This 400-nucleotide unclassified non-coding RNA is filed under the name uncultured Orbiliales. RNAcentral describes it as "sequence contains ITS1". The stretch from base 1 to 105 matches the Rfam family "5.8S ribosomal RNA", at positions 50 to 154 of the family's 154-position model. The record is from RNAcentral. Lineage: Eukaryota; Fungi; Ascomycota; Orbiliomycetes; Orbiliales.